Molecule: ribosomal RNA, 490 nt
Filed under: uncultured bacterium
Lineage: Bacteria
Description: partial 16S ribosomal RNA
Rfam family: Bacterial small subunit ribosomal RNA
Source: RNAcentral
AUUGAACGCUGGCGGCAUGCCUUACACAUGCAAGUCGAACGGCAGCAUGAUCUAGCUUGCUAGAUUGAUGGCGAGUGGCGAACGGGUGAGUAAUACAUCGGAACGUGCCCUGUAGUGGGGGAUAACUAGUCGAAAGAUUAGCUAAUACCGCAUACGACCUGAGGGUGAAAGUGGGGGACCGCAAGGCCUCAUGCUAUAGGAGCGGCCGAUGUCUGAUUAGCUAGUUGGUGAGGUAAAGGCUCACCAAGGCGACGAUCAGUAGCUGGUCUGAGAGGACGAUCAGCCACACUGGGACUGAGACACGGCACAGACUCCUACGGGAGGCAGCAGUGGGGAAUUUUGGACAAUGGGCGAAAGCCUGAUCCAGCAAUGCCGCGUGUGUGAAGAAGGCCUUCGGGUUGUAAAGCACUUUUGUCCGGAAAGAAAUGGAUCUGGUUAAUACCUGGGGUCGAUGACGGUACCGGAAGAAUAAGGACCGGCUAACUACGUG